This 253-nucleotide ribosomal RNA is filed under the name uncultured bacterium. RNAcentral describes it as "partial 16S ribosomal RNA". It matches the Rfam family "Bacterial small subunit ribosomal RNA", at positions 524 to 776 of the family's 1533-position model. The record is from RNAcentral.
UACGAAGGGGGCUAGCGUUGCUCGGAAUCACUGGGCGUAAAGGGUGCGUAGGCGGUUCUUUAAGUCAGGGGUGAAAUCCUGGAGCUCAACUCCAGAACUGCCUUUGAUACUGAGGAUCUUGAGUACGGGAGAGGUGAGUGGAACUGCGAGUGUAGAGGUGAAAUUCGUAGAUAUUCGCAAGAACACCAGUGGCGAAGGCGGCUCACUGGCCCGUAACUGACGCUGAGGCACGAAAGCGUGGGGAGCAAACAGG